GAGUUUGAUCGUGGCUCAGGACGAACGCUGGCGGCGCGCUUAACACAUGCAAGUCGAACGGGCGCCUUCGGGCGUCAGUGGCGAACGGGUGCGUAACACGUGAGCAACCUGCCUGGAGUUGGGGGAUAACCUCGGGAAACCGGGGCUAAUACCGCAUGAGAUCGAGAGAUGAAAGCAGGGGACCGCAAGGCCUUGCGCGAGAGGAGCGGCCGAUGCCGGAUUAGCUAGUUGGUGGGGUAACGGCCUACCAAGGCGACGAUCCGUAGCUGGUCUGAGAGGACGACCAGCCACACUGGGACUGUGACACGGCCCAGACUCCUACGGGAGGCAGCAGUGGGGAAUUUUGGACAAUGGGGGCAACCCUGAUCCAGCCAUGCCGCGUGUGUGAAGAAGGUCUUAGGAUUGUAAAAUCCUUUCAGCGGGGACGAUAAUGACGGUACCCGCAGAAGAAG
RNAcentral lists this ribosomal RNA (452 nucleotides) under uncultured beta proteobacterium. RNAcentral describes it as "bacterial SSU rRNA". It matches the Rfam family "Bacterial small subunit ribosomal RNA", at positions 9 to 490 of the family's 1533-position model. Lineage: Bacteria; Pseudomonadati; Pseudomonadota; Betaproteobacteria. The record is from RNAcentral.